Molecule: transfer RNA, 72 nt
Filed under: Capra hircus (goat)
Lineage: Eukaryota; Metazoa; Chordata; Mammalia; Artiodactyla; Bovidae
Also listed under: 1 other name
Rfam family: tRNA
About the family: Transfer RNA (tRNA) molecules are approximately 80 nucleotides in length. Their secondary structure includes four short double-helical elements and three loops (D, anti-codon, and T loops).
Source: Rfam by way of RNAcentral
UCCUUAGUGGUCCGGUGGUUAGGACUCCGUGCUUUCAGUGCCGUGGCCCAGGUUCAAUCCCUGGCCAGGGAA